RNAcentral lists this ribosomal RNA (292 nucleotides) under uncultured bacterium. RNAcentral's name for it is "partial 16S ribosomal RNA". It matches the Rfam family "Bacterial small subunit ribosomal RNA", at positions 505 to 796 of the family's 1533-position model. The record is from RNAcentral.
GUGCCAGCAGCCGCGGUAAUACGUAGGGGGCAAGCGUUGUCCGGAUUUACUGGGCGUAAAGCGCGUGUAGGCGGUGAUUUAAGUCCGGGGUGAAAGGCGGGGGCUCAACCCCCGAGCGGCGCCGGAAACUGGGUCACUUGAGUGUCGGAGAGGGGAGUGGAAUUCCUGGUGUAGCGGUGAAAUGCGUAGAGAUCAGGAGGAACACCCGUGGCGAAGGCGGCUCCCUGGCCGAACACUGACGCUGAGACGCGAAAGCGUGGGGAGCGAACGGGAUUAGAUACCCCCGUAGUCC